GAUGAAGAACGUAGCGAAAUGCGAUACGUAAUGUGAAUUGCAGAAUUCAGUGAAUCAUCGAAUCUUUGAACGCAUAUUGCGCUCUCUGGUAUUCCGGAGAGCAUGCUUGUUUGAGUAUCAGUAAACACCUCAACUCCCUUUUCUUUUUUGAAAUUGGAGCUGGACUUGAGUGAUCCCAACGCUUUCUUCCAAGAAAGUGGCGGGUUGCUUGAAAUGCAGGUGCAGCUGAACUAUUCUCUGAGCUAUAAGCAUAUCUAUUUAGUCUGCCUAAAAAACAGAUUAUUACCUUUGCUGCAGCUAACAUAAAGGAGACUAGUUCUUGUGCUGACUGAUGCAGGAUUCACAGAGACAGCUUCGGCUGACUUUGUAAACUCGAUCUCAAAUCAAGUAAGACUACCCGCUGAACUUAAGCAUAUCAAUAAGCGGAGGA
This 430-nucleotide unclassified non-coding RNA is filed under the name soil metagenome. RNAcentral describes it as "partial contains 5.8S ribosomal RNA, internal transcribed spacer 2, and large subunit ribosomal RNA". The stretch from base 1 to 120 matches the Rfam family "5.8S ribosomal RNA", at positions 35 to 154 of the family's 154-position model. The record is from RNAcentral.